Molecule: small nuclear RNA, 331 nt
Filed under: Prolemur simus (greater bamboo lemur)
Lineage: Eukaryota; Metazoa; Chordata; Mammalia; Primates; Lemuridae
Description: 7SK RNA (ENSPSMG00000004330.1)
Rfam family: 7SK RNA
About the family: 7SK was discovered as an abundant small nuclear RNA in the mid-70s but a possible function has only recently been suggested.
Source: Rfam by way of RNAcentral
GGAUGUGAGGGCGAUCUGGCUGUGACAUCUGUCACCCUAUUGAUCACCAGGGUUGAUUCGGCUGACCUGGCUGGCUAGGUGGGUGUCUGCUUCCUCCCUCACCGCUCCAUGUGCGUCCCUCCUGAAGCUGCACACUUGGUCAAAGAGGACGACCUUCCCCGAUAGAGGAGGAUAGAGGAGGACCGUUCUUCGGUCAAGGGUAUACGAGUAGCCUCGCUCCCCUGCUAGAACCUCCAAACAAGCUCUCAUAAAGUUUGUCAGGAGCUAGGAGCCAGGGGAGGCAAGAAUCCCUGUAGCAAACGACUAAAUAGUUGGUUAAUGGUGGUGUAGC